Acanthopagrus latus (yellowfin seabream) is the source of this 618-nucleotide long non-coding RNA. RefSeq lists it as uncharacterized. The transcript is spliced from 2 exons. The record is from RefSeq and is a predicted model, not a curated record. Lineage: Eukaryota; Metazoa; Chordata; Actinopteri; Spariformes; Sparidae.
CAGCAGGUUCACCUCCUCUUGUACUUGGCUGAACCGCUCAUGCAAAUACCUGCAGUCACAAAGAUCACAGUCAGAAAUACUAUCAUCAGCACUGGAGACGAAAGCAGGUAUUUUGGAUUAAGAGCAGGGAGGAAGAGAGUCGGAAUAAGAGUCAUGCUAAUUCAGCUCGGUUUGAGGCUGCUCCUGGUUGAUGUCAGGUCACAGGAAAAAGGAACUGGACAAGAUGGGACUCAGACUGGCAUAACAACAUAAAAUCAGAGACUGUUUGACCUGUCUCCACCACAACAUCUCGGAUGGAGCUGUUGUACUCAGUGGUUGGACCGUGUUCUGAGCUGACAGAGCGCAGGACCACAGCUGGAUAAGGAGCUAAGGAUGCUUUGUGUUCAGACAGUCAAAGUCUUUCUCUGAUGUCAAACUUUUGAUGUGAAGAUGCUGAGCACAUCAUCAUCACCAACUUGUUGCUACAAUUAUCCCAACACAAAUUCAAAUCUUAAUGUCUACUUUUAUAUAAAUAACUGCAUAUAUGUCCUGUAAUUUGUGUAGCAUCAAGGAGUUUAUGAAGUUCCAUAUCCUAAUGCAACCCUGUGUAUGACAACAAUUAAAUUACCUUGUACCUUG